Molecule: unclassified non-coding RNA, 334 nt
Filed under: soil metagenome
Description: partial contains 5.8S ribosomal RNA, internal transcribed spacer 2, and large subunit ribosomal RNA
Rfam family: 5.8S ribosomal RNA (bases 1-120)
Source: RNAcentral
GAUGAAGAACGCAGCGAAAUGCGAUAAGUAAUGUGAAUUGCAGAAUUCAGUGAAUCAUCGAAUCUUUGAACGCACAUUGCGCCCGCCAGUAUUCUGGCGAGCAUGCCUGUUCGAGCGUCAUUUCAACCAUCAAGCCCCAGGCUUGUGUUGGAGCCCUGCGGCUGCCGCAGCCUCCCAAAACCAGUGGCGGGCUCGCUAUCACACCGAGUGCUGUAGUUUACUCUUCGCUCAGGGCGUGUGGCGGGUGCUAGCCGUGAAACCCCCAACUUCUCAAGGUUGACCUCGGAUCAGGUAGGAAUACCCGCUGAACUUAAGCAUAUCAAUAAGCGGAGGA